Molecule: transfer RNA, 67 nt
Filed under: Dolichovespula kuami
Lineage: Eukaryota; Metazoa; Arthropoda; Insecta; Hymenoptera; Vespidae
Description: tRNA-Phe
Source: RNAcentral
AUUUAAAUAGCUUAAAAUUAAAGCAUAAUAUUGAAGUUAUUAAAAUAACAUUAUAUGUUUUUAAAUA